Molecule: ribosomal RNA, 915 nt
Filed under: uncultured archaeon
Lineage: Archaea
Description: bacterial SSU rRNA
Rfam family: Archaeal small subunit ribosomal RNA
Source: RNAcentral
UUCCGGUUGAUCCUGCCGGAGGCCACCGCUAUUGGAAUCCGAUUAAGACAUGUGAGUCGAGAGUCUUCGGGACUCGGCAGACGGCUCAGUAACACGCGGAUAAUCUGCCCUUGGGUGGGGAAUAAUCUCGGGAAACUGAGCAUAAUACCCCAUAGGCCUGAGAUGCUGGAACGCCCUCAGGCUAAAAGCUACGGCGCCCAAGGAUGAGUCUGCGGCCUAUCAGCUUGUAGUUGGUGUAAAUGACCAACUAGGCGACGACGGGUACGGGCAUUGGGAGAUGUAGCCCGGAGAUGGACUCUGAGACACGAGUCCAGGCCCUACGGGGCGGAGCAGUCGCGAAAACUUCACAAUGUGGGAAACCGCGAUGAGGGGAUUCCAAGUGCUUGCGUUUUGCGUAAGCUGUUCUCCUGCCUAAAAAGCAGGGGGAGUAAGGGCUGGGUAAGACGGGUGCCAGCCGCCGCGGUAAUACCCGCAGCCCAAGUGGUGGUCGAUAUUAUUGAGCUUAAAGCGUCCGUAGCCUGUCUGGUAAAUUCUUGGGUAAAUCGUGCAGCUUAACUGUCCGAAUUCCGGGGAGACUGCCAGACUUGAGACCGGGAGAGGUUGGAGGUACUCCUGGGGUAGGGGUAAAAUCCCGUAAUCCUGAGAGGACCAUCAGUGGCGAAGGCGUCCAACUGGAACGGAUCCGACGGUCAGGGACGAAGCCCUGGGUCGCGAACUGGAUUACAUACCCAGGUAGUCCAGGGUGUAAACGCUGCACACUUGUUGUCGGACGUCCUACCACGGCGUCAGUGCCGGAGAGAGAUUGUUAAGUCUGCCGCUUGGCGAGUACGUCCGCCAGGAUGAAAUUAAAAGGAAUUGGCGGGAGAGCACCGCAACGGGAAGGAAGCGUGCGGUUCAGUUGUAAUCAACGCAGGU